RNAcentral lists this transfer RNA (67 nucleotides) under Sinopodisma kelloggii. Its description in RNAcentral is "tRNA-Glu". It matches the Rfam family "tRNA". From Rfam's summary of the family: Transfer RNA (tRNA) molecules are approximately 80 nucleotides in length. Their secondary structure includes four short double-helical elements and three loops (D, anti-codon, and T loops). The record is from RNAcentral. Lineage: Eukaryota; Metazoa; Arthropoda; Insecta; Orthoptera; Acrididae.
AUUUAUAUAGUUUAAAUAAAACAUUACAUUUUCACUGUAAAAAUAAUAUUCUAUAUAUUUAUAAAUA